RNAcentral lists this ribosomal RNA (497 nucleotides) under uncultured bacterium. RNAcentral's name for it is "partial 16S ribosomal RNA". It matches the Rfam family "Bacterial small subunit ribosomal RNA", at positions 28 to 507 of the family's 1533-position model. The record is from RNAcentral.
GAUGAACGCUGGCGGCGUGCCUAAUACAUGCAAGUCGAGCGAACGGACGAGAAGCUUGCUUCUCUGAUGUUAGCGGCGGACGGGUGAGUAACACGUGGAUAACCUACCUAUAAGACUGGGAUAACUUCGGGAAACCGGAGCUAAUACCGGACGACAUUUUGAACCGCAUGGUUCAAAAGUGAAAGACGGUCUUGCUGUCACUUAUAGAUGGAUCCGCGCUGCAUUAGCUAGUUGGUAAGGUAACGGCUUACCAAGGCAACGAUGCAUAGCCGACCUGAGAGGGUGAUCGGCCACACUGGAACUGAGACACGGUCCAGACUCCUACGGGAGGCAGCAGUAGGGAAUCUUCCGCAAUGGGCGAAAGCCUGACGGAGCAACGCCGCGUGAGUGAUGAAGGUCUUCGGAUCGUAAAACUCUGUUAUUAGGGAAGAACAUAUGUGUAAGUAACUGUGCACAUCUUGACGGUACCUAAUCAGAAAGCCACGGCUAACUACGUG